CCUACGGGAGGCAGCAGUAGGGAAUCUUCCACAAUGGGCGAAAGCCUGAUGGAGCAACGCCGCGUGGGUGAAGAAGGUCUUCGGAUCGUAAAACCCUGUUGUUAGAGAAGAAAGUGCGUGCGAGUAACUGUUCACGUUUCGACGGUAUCUAACCAGACAGCCACGGCUAACUACGUGCCAGCAGCCGCGGUAAUCCGUAGGUGGCAAGCGUUAUCCGGCUUUAUUGGGCGUAAAGGGAACGCAGGCGGUCUUUUAAGUCUGAUGUGAAAGCCUUCGGCUUAACCGGAGUAGUGCAUUGGAAACUGGGAGACGUGAGUGCAGAAGAGGAGAGUGGAACUCCAUGUGUAGCGGUGAAAUGCGUAGAUAUAUGGAAGAACACCAGUGGCGAAAGCGGCUCUCUGGGCUGUAACUGACGCUGAGGUUCGAAAGCGUGGGUAGCAAACAGGAUUAGAGACCCGAGUAGUC
RNAcentral lists this ribosomal RNA (465 nucleotides) under uncultured bacterium. RNAcentral's name for it is "partial 16S ribosomal RNA". It matches the Rfam family "Bacterial small subunit ribosomal RNA", at positions 338 to 795 of the family's 1533-position model. The record is from RNAcentral.